CCUACGGGAGGCAGCAGUGGGGAAUCUUGCGCAAUGGGCGAAAGCCUGACGCAGCAACGCCGCGUGCGGGAAGAAGGCUUUCGGGCUGUAAACCGCUUUCAGCAGGAACGAAAAUGACGGUACCUGCAGAAGAAGGAGCGGCCAACUAUGUGCCAGCAGCCGCGGUGAUACAUAGGCUUCAAGCGUUGUCCGGAUUUAUUGGGCGUAAAGAGUUCGUAGGCGGUCAAGUAAGUCGGGUGUGAAAAUUCUGGGCUCAACCCAGAGACGCCACCCGAUACUGCUUAACUUGAGUUCGAUAGGGGAUGGGGAAUUCCUAGUGUAGCGGUGAAAUGCGCAGAUAUUAGGAGGAACACCGGUGGCGAAGGCGCCACUCUGGAUCGAUACUGACGCUGAGGAACGAAAGCAUGGGUAGCAAACAGGAUUAGAUACCCUGGUAGUCCAUGCCGUAAACGGUGGGCACUAGGUGUGGGUUUCCUAUUAACGAAAUCCGCGCCGUCGCUAACGCAUUAAGUGCCCCGCCUGGGGGAGGUACGGUCGCAGAACUAAACUACAAAGAAGUUAGACGGCGUGAGACGNGCCGAACGGACGACGACGAGGGAGGUAGG
This 605-nucleotide ribosomal RNA is filed under the name uncultured bacterium. Its description in RNAcentral is "bacterial SSU rRNA". It matches the Rfam family "Bacterial small subunit ribosomal RNA", at positions 338 to 1363 of the family's 1533-position model. The record is from RNAcentral.